AUGAGGAAACUGUAUUUGCUCACCACCCCUGCUCAAGUUAGCCGCCUUCAGGGACCUCCAAACCAGCCAUCGCUCGGCGUAACUUACAGCUGGCGCUCCGGCUACCCUUCGCCCUCCGCCUCGAUCACUUUUUACAGCUCAAUCCCGUGCUCGAUGCGAGAACCUUGCCACCGGACCCCGACACGGCAACUCCACCCGCCGACACCCCCGGGGCCCCCCCAGGGCCCCCAGCCCCGCGCCGCUCCCGCAGCUGCCCCGGUCAGUCUCCGGGGAGCAGCAGCAGCAGCAGCACAUCCCUGCGGGUCGGAGCCCCGCGGUACCGGAUCUUUGUCUGCGGGCACGGCAAGGCUCCCUCCCAGCGGCUGGACCCCGUGCCGGGCUGCCGAGGCUCCUCCAGUGAGAACUCCACUUUAGAAAAAACACUGAAGGAAAACAGCGUGGUCAUCAGAUUCACAUUUGGUUUCACUGGUGACUCUCCCCAUCCUCCUGCCAGUUCUGAGCUGAACACAAAAGGAACAGCUUUCCAGGAAGAGAGGUGUAAUAAAACAGGUGAUUUUCAAAAAGCA
RNAcentral lists this long non-coding RNA (566 nucleotides) under Anas platyrhynchos platyrhynchos (common mallard). Its description in RNAcentral is "lncRNA (ENSAPLG00000016635.1)". The record is from RNAcentral. Lineage: Eukaryota; Metazoa; Chordata; Aves; Anseriformes; Anatidae.